GAUGAACGCUGGCGGCGUGCCUAACACAUGCAAGUCGAACGGUCUACUUCGGUAGACAGUGGCAAACGGGUGCGUAACACGUAGGCAUCUACCCAUAAGCUGGGGACAACGACGGGAAACUGUCGCUAAUACCCGAUGUGGUCUGCGGACUAAAGACGUAAGUCGCUUAUGGAGGAGCCUGCGGCCUAUCAGGUAGUUGGUGCGGUAACGGCGCACCAAGCCGACGACGGGUAGGGGGUGUGAGAGCAUGACCCCCCACACGGGACGUGAGACACGGCCCGACCUCCUACGGGAGGCAGCAGUGAGGGAGUAUUGGGCGAAUGGGCGGCAAGCCUGACCCACGCGACGCCGCGUGGAGGAGAAGGG
RNAcentral lists this ribosomal RNA (366 nucleotides) under uncultured bacterium. RNAcentral's name for it is "bacterial SSU rRNA". It matches the Rfam family "Bacterial small subunit ribosomal RNA", at positions 28 to 414 of the family's 1533-position model. The record is from RNAcentral.